Molecule: long non-coding RNA, 2106 nt
Filed under: Mus musculus (house mouse)
Lineage: Eukaryota; Metazoa; Chordata; Mammalia; Rodentia; Muridae
Description: long non-coding RNA chr11:93913967-93916073
Source: RNAcentral
ACUGUAUUUCAUUUCAAGUCCGUAUAUUACAGCAAUUAUAUGAAAUAAAGUUCUUAGUGAGUACAUCUCUUGCAGUAAUUAAGUUGGUUGGUUUUGCUUAAAGCUUUGCUAUUUUAAGACUGACAUGGUCAUAGAGCAGGUAACUGUACCCUGGAAAUAAGUAUGAUUCCAGAAAGGACCUUGAGAUUUGUAACAAUUUGCUUUUCCUUUUUUUUUUUUUUUUAAACAAACGAACCCGAAUAUUUCUAUAACUUAAAAUUUAGUUUCAGGAUCUGGGCAUGAUAGCAUAUACCUAUAAUCCCAGCACUUGGUAUUUAGAAGCAAAGACAUCAAGAGUUCAAGGCUACUCUCAGCUCCAGAGUGAGUUGCAGACUAGAAAUAAAGGAUGUUGUGUGGUGUGGAUUGGAGCAGCUAACUUAUUCAUAAGGAUAAUGUGGCAACUUGACUUUUUCGCUCAGGACCAGUGCCUGUUCCACUCACCUUUCUUUACUUCUUCCUUUUUAUUCGAGAGAAAACACUUUGUCCUAGUACAGUGAGCUCACUUUGUUGCUUUAAUCAACAUUUUCUGUUGAAGUCAUUUGAUUUCAGAGGUAGACCUUAUGCUAAAUUCAGUUUUAAUCUUCAGUUGACUCUCCAAUAUUCCCCACCCCCACCCUGAGAUCAUUUGAUACCUUUCUAAGAAAAGUUACUGGUUUGGGCUAUAGGAAAGCUGUUUCCAGGAAUUGCUGGAAGCAGAGCCCCUGUCUCAUACCAUCAUCCUUCUAAGACUUAACACAUUCUCUAGUAGGGUUUUCUUCUUAGAGACUCGACAUCUGCCCUCUUGCCCACUUAAGUACCAGAUAAGCACCUUUGCAUUGGUGGAAAUUACAAAUUGGUGGUAAUUACAAAUACCCAGCUCUACUGUGUGAUGCAAAACCAAAGCUGUCUGGUUGAAACAAAAAUUGUAUGAGUGUGCUGUCCGAAUCCUGAGCCUAGAAUCUCAGCUUAACCACCAACCUCCUCUUUUUCUUUUUGCUUUUUUUUAAAGAUUUAUUUAUUGUAUGUACAUAAGUACACUGUAGCUCUCUUCAGACACACCAGAAGAGGGCAUCAGAUCCAUUACAGGUGGUUGUGAGCCACCAUGUAGUUGCUGGGAAUUGAACUCAGGACCUCUGGAAGAGCAGACAGUGCUCUUAACCACUGAGCCAUCUCUCCAGCCCAAACCGACCUCCUCUCAAGUAAGGGUCUAGAUACCCUGUAUCAGCAUUAACAGUCAAGCAUUUUCAAGUGUGAAAUUCUUUAAAUUUCUAGAAACAAAGUUUCUACAAAGUACAUUAUAAGGCUAGAAAGAUGGCUCAGCAAGUAAAGUGUAUAUAUUGCACUUGGCUUGGGAUCCAAGUUCUAUGCCCAGCGCCCAUGUUAAGUGGUUCAGAACUGCCUAGAACUUCAGCUGCAUGGAGAUCUGAUGCCUAUGACCUAUAUGACAUGCAUAAAGACACAUAUAAAAACAUGAAUGAAAAUGAAAAUAAAAUUUAGAAGUAAAGACAUCUUAGAGGCAAGCAUGGUGAUAUAUAACUGUAAUCCCAGAACUUAAGAGGCUAAACCAAGUGUACUGCCAUUGUUUUGGCAGCCAGCCUAAGAUACCCUGAGUGCCAAGCCAGCAAGGUGAUAGACCGAUAUACCAUGGCUUUGACUAGUAAAUAGUCUUUGGAACCAAUCCUACUAGUAUAGCCAGUCUCAGCUAUAAAAUGUUCACAGGUUUAAGGCCAGCCUGAGCAAAUUGAUAAGAUCUCAAUACCACCAAAAAGAGAAGUCUACAGUGAAAACUGAAUCCCUUUUGUCCUUUCAUAUAUUAAAUCUGACUUAGACCUCAAUCACAGCAAGAAACUACACUUACUGAUUAGACAGAGUAAACUUUGUCAGAACUUUGGUCUCCAACCCCUUGGUCACCCUGUCCUUGACGACCUUAAGGUGGAAAUCACUGAAAUGGGUAUAUUUUUACUUAAUCCUAAAUCAGCCAGAUAUGGUGACAAAUACUUGUUCUCCCAGCAGUCAUGAAGCUAAGGUAAGAGCAUUGUGAGCUCCAGGCCCACCUAGCUGCAAAAUCAGACCUUUAUCAAAAACCUU